RNAcentral lists this long non-coding RNA (15902 nucleotides) under Brassica rapa (field mustard). RNAcentral's name for it is "long non-coding RNA (BRAP_LNC002646)". The record is from RNAcentral. Lineage: Eukaryota; Viridiplantae; Streptophyta; Magnoliopsida; Brassicales; Brassicaceae.
CAUCGACAACAGUACCAACAUAACUCUAGACUUCGCUCUGUUCAAACCGAGCAAAGAUGAAUUCAAGGACAACAACAACCAGCUCGAUUACAAAAACCUCUUUGACGCCAAUCUCGACUCAGUUUACGCGGCAUUGGAUAAACUGGGCGGGGGAUCGUUGGAAGUCGUGGUGUCGGAGAGCGGUUGGCCCACGCAGGGAGGGGAGGAGGCGAGUGAGGGGAAUGCGGGGACUUAUAUUAACAAUUUGAUACAACAUGUGAAGAAGGGAUCUCCGAGAAGGCCAGAUAAAGCUAUAGAGACUUACAUAUUCGCCAUGUUCGAUGAGAAUUUGAAGCCGAAUGAGGAUCCGUUUGAGAGGUACUUUGGGCUGUUUAAUGCUACUACUAGAGACCCUAAAUAUAGUGUUACUUUCAACUAAUCUUCUUGGAGAGACUUCUUGAAGAAGCAAGGGCUAGUAAAGCAGUGAUGCGGUAAUUAAAUGGUAUUUGUCUAUUUGAGUUUUUUUUUAAUGCAUGAGUAUUAAGAAUGUGUAAACUUGUUGUAAUAUUAAGGACUAGUUAAUGAGCCUUAACCAUUGUUUUUACUUUAUCUGUUUCAGUAAUGUAAUGAGAGUUGUUUAAAUUCUUCAGUAUAUAUAUAUAUAUAUAUAUAUAUAUAUAUAUAUAUAUAUAUGAGGUUGUUCGUUCAUAGUAAACAAAAACUUUUAAAUAUUUAGCUGAAACAUUUAGACAUAACACAAGCCUAAGCAAAACCAUCAUCAUCAACACGGCGUCUAUUUUUGUCACCAAAACUGAAAUCGACACCAAGAAGAAAGUUCUUUGGCUAUUAACUAGGAGUCUAGGAUAACUACAGAAUGCUUACACUGUUCUCAGUAAGACAUGUCACAUGUCCCUUCAUGCUUGCAAUCUUUAGUACCAAACUCAAUCUUAGCUUGUGGUCUGAGUUUUAAACUAUUUUUAAUUUUUUUGUUUGUUUUACAUCAUCUUUUGUACUGAUUUUCUAAAUUGCUAUGAGGUAGCUACGAGCAUCUCCAAUAGACGUGUUCCUUUAAAUGCUUGGUUAUCCAGUAUCCUCUACAUUUUUAUUUGCCAAUUCAUUAUGUUCUUUAAUAUCUUUUUUGAGUAUACAGAAACACACAUAAUUGAUGAUGGCUAUUAUGUUUCCUCUAUAGAAAAACUUCAGAACUUUCGAAAAUUAUCGUCUAACUAAGGAGAUAUAUGAUAUAACUAAAGUGACAUUGAUGAUUUCAAGAACUAUUAGUAAUAAAAGCCAUCUUACCAUAUUUGAUGAUGGCUAGUUUGUCUAACGACGUUAGGAUGAACUAAAGCAAUAGAUGUAAGAUGGCUUUUACCAUGAUUCCAAAUUGCAAUUCAUUAUCGCAUUUAAUCUAAGGUUGUAUGCAGUGGGGUGUGUAGGAAAAAAUCCAUUAUUGGGAGAAAGUUAGAUAUUCUAUAUCUAUUUUUUUAAUGUUUAGCAUGAUUUAUUAACUCAUUUGCUCUAUAAGAUUACUGAUUCACAAUUCUUCUGAUUAGCUAUUUUGAUCCAGCUUAUUUUCAAAAAAAAAAAAACUUAUAGUAUUUGAGAUUGAGUAUUUGACUUAGAGAAGGUGGACAAUCCGUUCCAUUUAACAGUAAGAUUUUAGUGUCAAGUUGGUUAAGCCCUAUUGAAAGCUACAUCCAAGACCGCUUCUUAGGGAGACGAAGCAUUCAAAAUUAUCUUUAACCAAAUGCCAAAAAACAUCGAAUAAAACAUGUCAAACAUCGAAUAUGUACCUAGAAGUGAUAGACGAUAGCAAUAUGCUUCAUCUAUUACAACAUGCAAGUACCUAGAUCGAUAACGAUGACAACAAGAUAAAUACUAUAUACAUUAUCAAACUAGCAUAUUAGUAGUGACUACACGUACAUACUGUAUAUAAGUUUAUGGAAUGAUAAAUAUUCCAAGACAGAUGGUUUUGAUUCACUCAUUGGCUGCAAAAAUAUGCUACAAAAUAUUUGAUUAUAUUGAUAUUUUUGAGAUUCACUCGCCUUGGUCUCGUUUAAGGAUUGAAACUGUCUCUGUAAAUGAACUAAAAUGAUGAUGCUAUUAGAUAUCAAAACAAAAUUUCUGUCAUUUGUGAAGACAGAGAGAUAAAACAGUGGAACCGUGUAAAGAUUCUUCAUGUUGCAAAGAAUUUAUUUGUACCACCAACCAGCAAGAAAAUGCCAAAGCAAGAAACAAAUAUGAGUUGUCCAUCCCGCUAUCGAAAUAAAAGAAAAUAAAUGCUAAGUUAAAUCAUUACUUUGGUGUCACAAAACUGAAAAUAAGUAAUUUUUAAAAAUGUUAAACUUGAUAUUACAUUUAUCGUGGUGGUUUUUUUUAAUUCUUACUGUGGUAGUUUCAUGUGUACGACAAUUAUGGAUGAAUACAUAUUCUUUUCAAUUUCUUGUGGGAUUAAUUAAUUAGAAUAUAUUUUUUUGUCAAAUAUUUUGUGCAUCUAAUAUAUAUCAAGUAUGUUCGUUUAAAAUACUAAAAUUGAUGCAAAAGUCAAGCAAGUAAUUCUAUAAGAUAAGCUAAAAAAACAUAUAUGUAAAUAUGUUGUUGAUAAAAUAAUUGACUAUACUUAUUAAUUACCUCAUAGUCGCCGAUAAUUUUCUAAUUUCUCAUUCUGAUAUUAAAGACGUAAGCUCUGAUUUGUGUUUUCUUCAAUCUGAAAUAUUCAAAACAAAUAUAUCUUAUUAAAAGAAAAUUACAAGUAACAAAUAACAAAUAACUCUAAGACUUACAACUUAUUUAUAUGUCAAUGUCACUGAAAUAAUUAAUAAACCAAAUUUUAAUCAUUAUUCAUCUUUUUCUAAUUUAAUAAAUAAUUUUGUAAAUAAAUUCUAAACUAAAAACCUACUUAAUUACAUUUAAUACCACUUAAAAAUUACAUAAUCCUAACUUUUAGCAUUUAUUAUCUUUUAAUAAAAUUAAACAACCAUAAAAAUAAAAAAUACGUAAAUUGAUUUUCAAACUAAUUAAUGUUAAAACAUAAACUUAAAAUAACUAACUAAUAAACAUGAAAAAUAAUUAAUGCUAUAUUGAUAGGUAAACAACCAUAAAACCAUGACAAAAAUCUAUUUAAAUCUAUUUAUGUUAAUUAUUAAUAACUAAUUAAUAUACAUGACAAAAAAUCAUAAAUCACCUAAAUCAAUUUACGUAUUCAUUUCCUAAAUUUAGAACACAAUAUUUUUAAAGCUAUAUAGUUAUAUUUUUAUUAUUUAUUAGUAACAACUAACAAAACUCACAUAAUUAGUCAUUUAUAUAUUAUAUAAAAAACAGAUUAAUAUAUUGAUAUAUUAUUUUACAUAUAUUUUCAUAUAAAUCAUAGAAUUUCAUGCUGACUUUCAAAGUAACCAUAGUUUGCGGUAAGAACUCCAUCACCAUUAAAUGAAGAACCAUCAAUGACUGAAGCAGGUAAGACCCGCCGCCACCAUACGCAAUAGAUAUGUCAAUUACCUUUUCUAAAUGGUUUAAUUGAACCGAAUUUUUUGUCUUACCAAAUCCAUUAGAAGAAACAUGCAAAGGAACAUUAAUUUUUGUUGUCAGAUUUAAAAUAAAAUAGCAAUCAAACAAAUCAAAUGAUUGGAAGUAAAGCAAAUCAAAGAAAAGAAAAAGUAAAACGAAUCAAACAAGCCGAUGUCAUAGCUGUAGAAGCCUCCGACCAUCGGCUUGAAACUAAAGUUUCUCUUUUUCUCUCUUAAUUGUGUUCUAAAUUUAGUAAAUGAAUAACUAAAUCGAUUAAGGUGGUUUAUGAUUGUUUUGACAUGUUUAUUAAUUAGUAUUAAUAAUAAAAUAUUAAGAUAUCUAAAUCAUUUUUUGAUGGUUUUAUGGUUGUUUACCUAAUCAAUUUAGAUAUGUUUUAUGGUUAUUUAAUUUGAUAAAAAGAGAAUAAAUGCUAAAAUUUGGGAUUAAGUAGUUUUUAGUGGUUUUAAAAUGUAAUUAAUCUAUUUAGAAAAUGAUUUAUUAAAUUAGGAAAAUAAAAAUAAUGUUUAAAGUUAGGCUUAUUAACCACUUCAAUGGCAUUUACUUAUAAAUAAGUUGUAAAUUUUAGAAUAUUUGUUAAUUAAAUUUUAGAAUAUUUGUUAAUUAAAAUGUAAUUAUGUAUAUUUAAAAAACAAUAUACAUAAAUUAAAUGUUUGUUAAUUUAUUUUAGAUCCUUACUGGUGUAUCCAUUUUCUACAUUUGUUUUGCUUGUUCUCAUUAUUUAGAAUUUUGUACUUAUAAGGCUUAAUAAUACAAACCAGUGUCAAAACAAAUAUUUAGAACACAAUAUUGUUUUAAAGCUGUAAAGUUAUAUUUUUAGUUAUCUAUUUGUAACAACUAAAAUACAAAUUUCAUUUAUAUAAUUUAUAUAAUAUAUAUAUAUAUUAUUUUACAUAUAUUUUUAUAUAAAUAAUAGUCCAUUGUAAAUUCAAUAGGUUAAAUGUUGAAGAGGAUAAAAUAUAUAUCACCAAAUUUUAAAUAGUAUAUAAAAACAUUUACUAUAAAUUAUCAUAAAAAAAUUGAUCCACCAAAAAAUAAAGGUAAAUUUGCGCGGAUGCGCAGGUCAUAUUCUAAAAACAAAAGUCAUAAAAUUGACGGUUUACAAGACAAAAAUAAAAUUACUCAAUAUAAUUUAUAAAAUUAUUGUGUUUAGAAAUGUUAUACUAAACAAUUAUUUAAUACAUAUAAGUUUUAAAAGUAUAUAUUAUCACUUAUACAAAUAAAUAUGCGCUGGUCAAGCUCUAGUAUUAGUUAAUAUACCAAAAGCUUUCUCGUUAUUGCUUAUUCAGUAUAUAUCCGUAAUGCUCAUUUGGGUAUAGGCACUUGAAUCUACCCUAUAUUUUGCUAUAUCUAUAUUAUUAAAGUAAAAUUCCUACUAUAAUUAUGCCAUUGAUUUUUAACUUAUUUACAAUGGUAUGUCAUUGCAUUUAAUUCUAAUAUAAAUAUUGUUUAUUUAAAAUAGACAACUGAAUAUUUCCUAUAUUUAUGGUAACUAAUUUUUCCAUAUUUUUGUAAAUGAUAAUAAUUCUAAUUUCUGUGCAAUCUAUACUUUUUAUUUAAUUUAAAUAUUUAAUACUCUAGCCAUCUAUACUAUUAAAGCAAAAUUUCUACUAAGAUUUUACCAUUGAUUUUUAACUUAUUUACAAUGGUAUGUCAUUGCAUUAAUUGUAAUAUAUAUAUUAUUUAUUUAAAAUAAGCAACUGAAUAUUUCUGAUAUUUAUGGUAACUAAGCUUUCUAUAUUUUUGUAAAUGAUAAUAAUUCUAAUUUUUAAUCUAUACUUUUUAUUUAAUUUAAAAAUUUAAUACUCUAACCAUUGGUGGUUAUACUUGAGACUUUUUUUAAAUGUUACAAGUGUGUAAAUUUGUAUGUUUUUUUAGUUUGUUGAUGAUAAAUUCAUAUUGAUUAUUUUUUCUAUCAUUUUUAUUAUGUUAUCCUUCAUGCUAAUUUAUUGCUGGUCGUCAUUAUAAUUUUAUUAAAAUCUUAACUAAUUUAUUUGACUUGCUUUCUUAGACACUUUAUUUUUUUUUUAUCUAAUUUGUAAACAUUGUUCUUUAAAUAUUUUCUUCAACAUAACUCAACAGAGAGCAUCUUAAACUUUAUAUGUUAUAUGAGGUGAAUCAGACUAAUGAUUAUAAGAAUUCAUCAUUUAGUUUUCUUUAAUAACAAUUGUUUUUUAAAAUCUUGUAGCUCACAUCAUGUUAGAUUUAUUUCAGUAUAGCUUAUUUGUUUGUUUCUAUGAAGAUUUUGACUGUAACUGAAUAAAACAAUAUUUGUACAAACAUAAAAUAGUAAUGUUGAUUAAUAUUUAAAAUUUUAAUGGAUAAACAAAUUCGUUAGUUUUUUAUUGAUUAAAAAUAAUUUGAAACUCAGAAAGAAAUUAUGACUUGCGAUUCUCUCUCUCUAUCUCUGUUCUCUUACUUAACAUCUUUCAGAGAGAGCGAAUGUAAAUUUCAAAUAUUUUUCUUAUAUUAGAAUUAUUCUUUACUCUACCGAAUUUUUUGGUAUGAUACAUUUUUUGUCUAUUAUAUUUUAACUUCGGCUUUGUAUGUCUACUUUCUGUCGUAGAUGUUUACAUUUUUUGUUUGUACUAUUUCUCAUUCACUAUUAUUGUUCAUUCACUUCAACUCCUAUAUUCUUGACGCGUUCUUUAUUCAUGAAGAUUAUUCAUGAAGAUUAUUAAAGAAAACACAUUUGAUAUUGAUUUAUAAUUUAUUUUGAAAAUACACUUUUGAAAUUUUAUUUUGAAGAGUAUAUUUUUAUUUUGUGUUCCUGGAAGGAUAACUAUUGUAUCUAUAUCAUGAAUGAAUUUAAUUUUAAUGAUUUAUUUAUUAGUUUACCUUAUUUGAUGUUGAAAUUCAUUUUGUAUUAUCAAUUUUGGAAAUUUUAACAUUUUAAAAAUAGUAAACUAUAAUUUUGAUUUUUUAUAUUUUGAUUUUUUUGUCUAAUCCUAUGUGUAUACUCUCAAUGACUUAUAUAGCCUCAUACAUAGUAUAUGUUAUUUUUGAAUAUUUUCAAGAGCAAAUUAGCUCAAUAUACUGAAAAGAGUAGGAUACCAUUGAAUUGGGGGAAAAUAGUAGUGAUGAGGGGAAAAAAAUUGAAGGAAAAUAGUGUAUGGAGUGCAAAUAGGGGGAAAGUUGUGGGUAGGGAGUACAAAUACUCUAUUUUCAAUAGUAUAUAGCCUAAACUUUGAAAACCAUGACUUAAAUUAAUUUACUUAUAAUUGUUUGUAAGUCUUGAAUUCUUAAUAUUAAUUCUUAUUUUGUAUUUUAUUUUAAUGUUACAUUUUGAGAAAUAUUAUAUAUUAAGCAAAUUUAUUUAUAAUGUUUGAUAUUGGUUUCUAUUUUAUUUUAAAUGAUCUUAUGGAAUUUUUUAAUCCAUAUCAAAAUAUAAUGAAUUGUUUCUCACUGAUUUAUAGUCUUAGAUUAUAUAUAAUGCAUGCUAUUCAUGAAUAUUUUCAAUAGCAUAUAGCCUAAAUUUUGAAAAUCAUGAGUUAAAUUUAUAGUUAUUAUUGUUUGAAUUAUUGCAUCUUAAAAUUAAUUAUUAUUUUUAGUAAAUUUAUGUUAAAUUAUUACAUAUAUAUAUAUAUAUAUAUAUAUAUAUUAAGUUAAUAUAUGUAUAAUGUUUUUACUUUUGUUAGUUUGCCUUAUUCCAUAUUGAUUUCUUUUUUAUUAUGAAAUAAACAGUUUUGGGAAACAUUGACAUAUUUAAAAAAUAACAAAUUUAAAUGCUUAUUUGUCAUAAUAUGGUUGGUUGUUUUAAAUCUUAUGUGAACGCUUUCAAUGGCUUAUAGUCUCAAAUUUUAUUUAAUAGUUUAUCUUAUUUGAUGUUGAAUUCUAUUUUGUGUUAUCAAUUUUAGAAAUUUUAAUAUUUUUAAAAGAGUAAACUAUGAUUAUGAUUUUUCAUAUUUUGAUUGGUUUUUCCUAAUCAUAUAUGUACACUCUCAAUGACUUAUAGCCUCAUAUAUAAUAUAUGUUAUUUUGAAUAUUUUAAUAACAUAUAAUGUUUUACUUUUGCUAACUUCCCUUGUUUGAUAUUGGUUUUUAUUUUAUUUUAAAUGAUUUUAUGGAACUUUUUAAAUCGUAAUCAAAGUAUAAUGAAUUGUUUCGCACUGAUUUAUGGUCUUAGCUUAUAUAUAAUGUAUUUUAUUUAUGAAUAUUUUUAAUAGCUUAUAGCCUAAAUUUUUGAAAAUCAUGUGUUAAAUUUAUAGUUAUAAUUGCUUGAAUUAUUGCAUUCAAAAAUGAAUUAUUAUUUUUAGUUAAUAUAUGUAUAAUGUUCUUACUCUUCUUAGUUUUCCAUAUUCGAUAUUGAUUUUUUUAAUUAUGAAAUAAACAGAUUUUUUGGAAACAUUGACAUAUUUAAAAAUAACAAAAUAAAAUGCAUCACCAGUUGGAUAGUUAAAAUUCUCAUUGUUGAUGAGAACCAACUUUCCAAGGGCAUCUAUAUAAAAUAUGUAUAUCAUUAGAACAUUAUGAUAAAGUCGUAUAUUUUUUUAUAUGGAUAGUAAUAAAGUUCGUCCCAUAUAUUCCUAGGUGAUCCUAAUUGUUUUCCUCUCAAUAUUGUGGCCAUCAUUGUCUGGACGUACGGAAAUUGUAGUAAGUUAUGAAAAGUUAAUAUCUAUUUUACUAUAAUAGUUAGCAUUUUUUAGUAAGUUAUGAAAAGUUAAUAUGUAUUUAGUUAGUUUAGUAUAUUUAUGUAAUAUUAAUUUCGUUUUUAAAGAUUAUUUUUAGUAUUAAAAUUAUUAAGAAGAUAACAAAUUAAGAUGUUGAUUUGUCAUAAUACGAUUGGUGGUUUAACAUCCUACGUGAGCGCUCUCAAUGGCUUAUAGUCUCAACUUUUAUAUAGUAUAGAUUUGGUUAAAAAUUCAAGACAUUUAGAACCUAACACUUAUUUUGUGAGACAAAAAAUCAAUGGGGUUUAUUCGUUCUUGUGGAUCUUUACUUCACCAAUUUUUUUUUGAAAAGGUACUUUACCAAACUUUCAUAGGGAAAAUACCGUAGUUUAGUUUUUAUUAUCUAAUUAUAUAAAGCUUAGUUUUUCAAAGUUGCUAACUAACAUGAUCACGACAUGUGUCAAAAAUCAUAAAUUCUAAACAAAAGAAAAUUAUUUAAUAAAAAUCAUAAUGUAAAACUAACUAUUGAUUUUAAUUUCUUGAUACAACUCAUUUUUUUUUACAAUUUUAUUACAUUUUAUGAUGCUAACACAAUUUUUUUUUUCAAUUAUGAUGUGUUAUCGUACAUGAGUAUGUGUGAAAAUAAAAUUUUAUUUAAAAAUAAAUUAGUUGUAUAAGAAUUUUUAACAAAAACGAAUUAUAAUAUCCUACCAAUCCAAGAAUUUAUUUAAUGAAAACUAUUAAAUAAAAAAUAAUUAGAAAAUAAGUAAGUUUCCUCUUUUAAAAGUCUAAAUAAAAUAAAAUUGUAAAAAAUGAUUUUUUUAUAAAUAAUUUACUUUCUUUUUCGCAUAAGUAAUUUUGUGUUAAAAAAAUUAUAAACCAAAACAACUUCAAAUAUUUCACUCGAUAAUAAAGCUUGGUUCUUCAAACUUUAUCGCGACAUGUGUGAAUAAAGUUUUUAAGUAUAAAUCCUAAAUAAAAGAAAAUUAUUUAAUAAAAAUCAAAAAGUAAAACUAACUAGAAAUUUUUUAGUCUUUAACUUAUUUUUUAAAGCCUAAACAAAAUAUUGUAAAAGUAUCACUAUUAUUUUAUUAUAAAAAACAAACUUUCCUGUUUAUAGAUAAUUGUAUGUUAAAAGUUAUAAACCAAAAAAUAGCUACAAAUAUUUCAAAACUAUAUUUAGGUCUAAGCUUCCACAUACUAUUUUCACAAAACGAAAUAUUAUUUACGAGAAAAAUAUUACCUAAGUAGUUUUUUUAAUUUCUUGAUACAGCUCAUUUUUGUUUAUAAUUUUGUUACAUUUUAUGAUGCUAACGCAAUUUUUUUUCCGAUAAUGAUGUGUUGUCGUACAUGAGUAUGUAAAUAUAAAAAUAUGAAAAUAUAUGUUUGUACGUAUAAGACAAAAUAUAAAAUUAGUUAAAAAGAAUUUUUUAUUAAAAAUAAAAUAGUUGUAUAAAAAUUUCAAACAAAAACGAAUUAUAAUAUCCUACCAAUACAAGAAAUUUUUAAUGAAAACUAUUAAAUAAAAAAUAAUUAUAAAAUACGUAAGUUUCCUUUUUUAAAAGUCUAAAAAAAUAAAAUUGUAAAAAAUGAUUUUUAUUAUAAAUAACUAAAUUUAUUUUUUCAUAGGUAAUUUUAUGUUAAAAAAAUUAUAAAAAAUAACUUCAAAUAUUUCACCCUAUAUGAUUGUUACAUAUGUCAAUAAAAAAUUAAAUUUUUAAUGUAUCAAUAAAAACCUGCCAUUAUGUGAAAAUAACUUCUUCUUUUUUUUCUAAAAUCCUAAAUGAAAGAGAUUUGUGAAAUAAGUUUUCCUUUUUUAAUCUUGACCAAAUAAGAUUUUUUUUUCUUUAAAAAAAAAGAAGCAAAUCCUUACUAAAGAUAAUUGUAAAAAGGCUAUUUAAUAGUAAUUUUCACUUUUAGAAUUUAAUGAUAAACAUGAUACUAAAAAUUAUUUAAAAUGUAACAAUAUUAGUGAUAUUGAGAAAAACGAAUUUUGAAAAUAGCAACUUUUAAAAAUAGUUAAUAUUAACUGGAAAUAAUUACUUGAUAGUAAUUUUAUUUUUCUAAAUCCUAAAAAAAAUUAAAUAUAAAAUAUUAUUUAAUAUUAAUUUCCUUUUCUAAAGCCCUAAAAACUGUAAGAUAAUUUGAUAUAUUUUUAAAAAAUCAUAAACAAAAGAGAUUUGUAAAAUUUUAAAAAGUUAUUUGGUAAAGUUUUUAAGAGAGACUUUGAUGAUGAACAUGAAAUUAGUAUAGAUACGAAUUGUAGAAAUAGUAUUUUUUAAACUUAUUUAAUAGUAACUAAAAAUAAUUAUUUGAUAAAAAAAUUAUUUUACUAAAAUUUUAAACAGAAGAUAAUCCUAAACAAAAAAUGUAAGAGAGUAUUUUAUAUAUAUAUUUGAUUAUAAAUGAAAAGGAACCCUGUUUAAAAAAAAAUUUAAAAACUAUUUAAUAAUAAUUAAGAAAAUUAUUAAGCAUUGGAUAAGUUUAAUAAAAUAUUAAAAUAUUACAUAAGUAAGGGUAUGAUGUUGUCAUUGACUCGAUUGGUCUUAUUUAACUUUCAAAUUUUGUUAUUCUAAUUCUUAAUUCGGGUUGGGUUGGGUUUAAAGUUAUAGGUAUGAGUGUUUUCUCUAUCAAUAAGUAGAAAGUGAAUAAAAAUUCACCUACAUACCAUGAUUAUAAAAUACAAAUAUUAACUGAAAUUUAUGUGUAAAAAAAUGUUUUUUAUAUAAAAUAAAUCUCACACGAUAUAUGCAAAAACAAUCCUAAAAAUAUAAUAAAAUGAUUUAUUAUUAUUAUUUUUUAUUAAAUUAAAAUAUUAAACAAAACCCAUUGCAACGCACGGGCUCAUAUCUAGUUAAAUAUAAAGUAUGGAUUGUAAGGCCAUCAUUAUCGCGGUCUUCAAAGACCGUUUCUUAGUUUUAUUAACAUUUAAAAAAAGGAAAUUAGAUUAAAUGCAAAAGAACGUUUCUUAUUUAGGGACAAUAAGAGACGAUUUUGUGAGACACGUGUUGCUUUUGGGCCUUGUCUCUUUGAUGAUAUAUUUGAUCAAACUUUUGAGAAUUUUACCAUUCUACUGGUAUCCCUACUAAUCUUUGUUUUUAAGUUUUAUAUUUAAAUCUUUAUUUAAAAUGUUAUCUUUUAUAAUGUUUUAUUUAAUAAAUAAAUUUUAUCUUUAAUUAAAUAAUUUUUUUUAAGAACUCCUAAAUAAGAGAUUUGCAUUGGAGGUAUUAAUUGUAAGAGUUUCUUAAUUAUGUCUCUUAACCUCACUUUAACUAUUUAAAAGUAUUAAAAAAUUAUUAAGAGACCUAAGAAGGGGCUUUGGGAUAAUGAUACUCUUAAGACUUUGGUGUCUAAUGUGUAUGAAGGUACCAGUGAUGGUUCCAAGAAGAGUCUAACCUUAGUGGUCUUUUUUUAUCAUCUAACCUUAGUUGUCUUAAAUCUAUAAUUAAUAACGUACAUCAACACCUAAUAUUAGCUCACACGAGAUUGACGUAUGAUUAACGGCUCAUAAUACCAUAAUACCAUGAUCAAACCUAUUACUAGAAAAACACAACCACUUAAAUUUGAGUAUUUAAAAAAAAAACGAAUCAUGCCAUCUCAUUUGACUCUUCAUGGUUAUACUGUUCUAGGUAAGACAUGUCAGAUGUUGUCCCUUCAUGGUUGCAAUCUUUAGUACCAAACUCAAAUCUGAACUUGUGGUCUGAGUUUUAAACUAUUUUAAACUCAACCAUUAAUCCAAUAGUUAAACUACGCCCACCUCCCCUCCCAUUCCGUCUCAUUUUCUCAGUCACGCUCUCAAAUCUCACACCAAUUCCAUCAGUUAAGAAAGACCGAAACAAGGUAAAGCUUUCAAUUUCACACACUAUAAGAAAACAUGAGACUAACAACGGUGGUAUUCCUCAUGAGUUCGUCGUAAAAAGGCUUUACGAUGAAUUAUCGAGAAAACACGUUUCGUCGUUACUCGUUCACUGCAUAUUUCAUCGCCAAUUCGUCGUAACACAGCGAGAGAAACAUUUCGUUACGACGAAGUACAUCAUUUCGUCGUAAAGACCAUGUAAUCAUUCUACGUAAGGAGGUCGCUAUAUUUUCUCGUAAAUACUUCGAAAGAAGUUCCUGGUAAAUUACAUGUAAAUAUCUCGAAACUAAUUUAGGGUUUUAUUUUUGAAAUUCUUUUAAAUUUUUUAAAUCAUACAAAUAUAAGUAAAAAGAAAUUGUAUGGCACAGGGUCCAAAUACUUUUUAAGCCGAGCCUGGGUGUAAUUCAUGAUUAUCGUAAGGAAUCUUUACAGCUGCCGGAGCCCGGGAGUCUCUACGUUCAUCACGUAUGUCACAUUGUGACGCAAAUGUGCGUGACGUAAAGAGGAGGCUUUCAAUUUCAGUAGUUUGAGUACGGACGAGAGAGAUUUCAUCAAUUAUAAUUUUCUGCCUAAGAAAAUUAUGGACCAUAUAUGACAAACAAACGUUUUUAUCACAUAAAACAAAAGAAAAAAACUGCAGUGAAUAUGAUUUUUCGGUUGUUUUCUUAUACAGAGAAUAUUAAAAUAAUGUUGGAAUGUGUAAGGGAAAUUGUUAUGGCGGUGGACAGAUCUAACAGCAGCAAGUUGUUCUUAUACAGAGAAUAUUAAAAUAAUGUUGGAAUGAGUAAGGGAAAUUGUUAUGGCGGUGGACAGAUCUAACAGCAGCAAGUUGUUCAUAAACAUACGACGUCUAUUUUGUCGUCCAAAACUGAAGUUGACGUUGAGAAAAAAUAAUUGGCUGUUAAUAUCAUUGCUCUAACCAAACCAUGUCUCUUCAUCAUAGUAGUUUACUGUUAUAGUAUUUAUACUACGUUAUUCGAAUAUACUCUAACGUUUACGUGUAGUGCAAAACUCACUCGUAUGGUCUGAGUAGUGAGUACUAUACUAAAUUUUUAAUUUUCAUUUAUUUGCAUUCUAAUUUUUGUAGUAAAAACUCUAUAAAAUUAAUAAUGUUGUGACUAUGCAAUUUUAUUAGUUUAUAGAGUGAUUAAUUUACAAUAAGUUUAUUUUUUAGAUUUUUGUAUUUUAGACUAUCUCUUUAAUAUAAAAUAAAAAUAAUAAUUAAUUUUACUCUGUAUAAAUUAAUUAAAAUUUUGAAAUUCCACUUUCAUAGUAUUUUUCUUAUAUUGUUUCGUGUAUAAUAUCUAUAAAAUUUAAUUAUGGUUUUAAAUAUAACUUUACUAAAUAUUAUCAAAAUAUAUUGAAUUGUUAAGAAAGAAUAGAGAUAAUAUCAUUUGAAUAUAAAAAACCAAUACAAUUUUUUAUUUGUACAUAUAUAUAAAAUGUAUAUACAUAUAAAUUAUUAGUUUAUAAUUUUAAUGAGAUCAUAUAUUUAAACAGCGUUUUCCAAAAAAAAAAAUUCUUAUUAUUUUAUUGAUUUGUGUUAUAUUUUGAACCCACCCAACUCGAAACCAAAAGAAUUUAUCAAUUUAUAGUGUUUAUUAAUUUAUCGAGUAUUAAUUUAUAGAGUUUCUACUGUAUUCGUUAAUUAAGACCAGAUGAUUUUCUCUUCUUUUUUUGCUAAAGGGUAAAUAUCAUUAAUAAUGAAAAGAGGAUUAACAAACAUAGCGGAUCUAGUUUAUGUUAAACCUUGGCAAAAAGAAAGCUAAACAAGUUAAUAACAAAGUUUCAGAUGGUAAAACAAGUUAACACAUCCACUUAUUAGCCUUAAGGUUUAGGAAGACCAGGUGAUUUUCAAUUAGCUUUAACUUUUGGAAGUUUUGGAAAAUGUAUCCAAUUUUAUAGUUGUUUUUAUUACAAACAAUGAGAAAAAUGUAAAUAAAAUAUCGGAGUUUUAUAGUUGUUUUUUAUUACAAACCGUAUGCAAAAUCCAACAUGCAGGAAAUAUUUGCACAUAAUAUCCAGGGUCUAAUUAAGAAGAAUUUAAUUAUGGUUUUAAAUAGAAGAAGCAUGUUCACUUAAUGAUCGAUGUUAACCUUCAUCCAAAAAUGAUUUGGUAAAAAAAGUGAUGCUAACAGAAUUAUUUGGACCACAAAAAAUUUUUAACGUAAAAAACAAAUACGUAAAUGUAAUUUCUACAUUGUAUAUUUGAAUAGAUUUUCGGUGUCACCGUGUACUGAUAAAUUUAUCGCUAUUUUAUCGCUAUUUCCAUUUUAUCACCAGCUCCUAAUAUUUCUAACUAUAUAUUUCUGUAAAAAUGUUAUAUAACAUUAGUUGAAUCUUUUUGAGAAUCUGGUUAUGAAUCCGAGACAUCUAGAACCUAAUUUUGUGAGAGAAAAUCAAUGGGUUUAUUUGUUCUUGUGGAUCUUUACUUCACCAAAUUUUCAUAUGGAUUGUAAUUAAUUAGUGUCUAACGUAUAUGAAGGUGCCAGUGAUGGCUCCAAGAAUAGUCUAACCUUAGUGGUCUAAAACCUAUUUUUAAUAACGUAAACGAAGCGAAGAUUUAAUAUUAGUUCACACGAGAUGAACGUAUGAUUAACGUCUCAUAAUGCCAUGAUUUGAAAACACAACAACCACUUAAAUUUGAGUAUUUUUAUAACCGAUGCAUCCAUCUCAUUUGACUCUUCAGUCUAUGGGUAUAUUGACCCUAGCUAUUGAAAGCUGUUUGUGUAGAGAACUCAUAGUCGUCGUAGACUUUUCAAACAAAUAUGUAUUGAAGUAUAUUUGUUAAGGGCGUUGCAUGCACCACGGACUCGCACUAUAAAUAGGCGCAGAAUGGUACGAUUCAAACAUAUAAAAAUAAAGUAUUAUUUCAUGAAAAUGUCUGGGGUUAGGAUGUUAGCAUCAUCACCAAUGUUGCUGUUUCUUCUCAGCCUUCUAAUGGCUUCCAACUUCGACACCACAGGUUUAGUCAUCUCUUAAGCUUAUGUAGCAUCCAUUAAUUAAUCAUCUUCUAUAACCCUAUUGAUUAUAUUUUAUUGCAUGACAAUUUUAUUACUAGCUGGACAAAUCGGAGUAUGCUUCGGGCAGAUGGGAAAUAACAUACCAAAUCCAUCGGACGUUGUGGCUAUGUUCAAGCAGUAUAGCAUCCCGCGAAUGCGGAUGUACGGUCCCAACCCCGACGCUCUCAACGCUCUCCGUGGCUCCAACAUCGAGUUCAUCCUCGACGUUCCCAAUGGCGACUUAAAACGUCUCGCAGACAGCCAAGCGGAGGCCAACACAUGGGUCCGAGACAACGUCCAGAAGUAUAACGAUGUCAGAUUCAAGUACAUCUCGGUCGGAAACGAGGUGAUGCCCGGGGGCCCAGGUGGGGUUGGGACGGUUCUCUUCCAGGCUAUGCAAAACAUUGAUAGAGCACUUUCCGCAGCAGGGCUCAGCAAUAUCAAGGUCUCCACGACUACAUACAUGGGAGCCUUCACGGACACGUAUCCUCCGUCGCGCGGAAGAUUCAAGGAUGAGUAUAGAAACUUUCUACAACCGGUGAUAGGUUUCUUGGUGAACAAGCGAUCUCCUCUGCUCGUGAAUAUCUACACUUACUUCGGCUUCAAGAACGGCGACGUCUCUCUACGAUUCGCUCUGUUGCAACCGAAUAGUAAUAAUGAAUUCACUGACCCCAACAACCAGCUCCGUUACCUAAACCUCUUCGACGCCAAUCUCGACUCAGUUUACGCGGCACUGGAGAAAUCGGGCGGGGGAUCGUUGGAUGUCGUGGUGUCGGAGAGCGGUUGGCCCACGCAGGGAGGACCCGGGACAAGUGUGCCGAAUGCGGAGGCUUAUGUUAACAAUUUGAGACUACAUGUUAAUAAGAAUGGAUCUCCGAAAAGGCCAGGGAAACCUAUAGAGACUUACAUAUUCGCCAUGUUCGAUGAGAA